This 350-nucleotide ribosomal RNA is filed under the name uncultured Zygosaccharomyces. RNAcentral's name for it is "SSU rRNA". It matches the Rfam family "Eukaryotic small subunit ribosomal RNA", at positions 1326 to 1698 of the family's 1831-position model. The record is from RNAcentral. Lineage: Eukaryota; Fungi; Ascomycota; Saccharomycetes; Saccharomycetales; Saccharomycetaceae.
CGAUAACGAACGAGACCUUAACCUACUAAAUAGUGGUGCUAGCAUUUGCUGGUUUUUCCACUUCUUAGAGGGACUAUCGGUUUCAAGCCGAUGGAAGUUUGAGGCAAUAACAGGUCUGUGAUGCCCUUAGACGUUCUGGGCCGCACGCGCGCUACACUGACGGAGCCAACGAGUCUAACCUUGGCCGAGAGGUCUGGGUAAUCUUGUGAAACUCCGUCGUGCUGGGGAUAGAGCAUUGUAAUUAUUGCUCUUCAACGAGGAAUUCCUAGUAAGCGCAAGUCAUCAGCUUGCGUUGAUUACGUCCCUGCCCUUUGUACACACCGCCCGUCGCUAGUACCGAUUGAAUGGCU